This 136-nucleotide ribosomal RNA is filed under the name Escherichia coli. RNAcentral's name for it is "partial 23S ribosomal RNA". The stretch from base 1 to 119 matches the Rfam family "Bacterial large subunit ribosomal RNA", at positions 2812 to 2925 of the family's 2925-position model. Lineage: Bacteria; Pseudomonadati; Pseudomonadota; Gammaproteobacteria; Enterobacterales; Enterobacteriaceae. The record is from RNAcentral.
UCCCUGACUCCUUGAGAGUCCUGAAGGAACGUUGAAGACGACGACGUUGAUAGGCCGGGUGUGUAAGCGCAGCGAUGCGUUGAGCUAACCGGUACUAAUGAACCGUGAGGCUUAACCUUACAACGCCGAAGCUGUU